GCGCUGUUUGCUGUUGCACGAUGCUACCACCUAAUGGUCGACAUAUCAAGCAUAUAUGAAUACGAAUAAUAAGAAUAAUGAAGUAUAAAGAACAAACGGCUAGCAGAAAAGGAAACCACACUGUUUGUGCUGCUGUGCCUGCCGGCCGCCUGAGAAGCUGAUAUGGACUGGCACAUGCAGCAUGCUGCUGGCUGGCACUAUCACCAUGGCAACACUCACUAGGUCAUUCCCGAUGAGCUGUAAUAACAUCUGCCUGACCCAGUGACUUCAAGGUGCAUCCUGCACAUUAUACUUGCCUGCUAGAUAUUACUAGAAAACCAUGCCUGCACAUUCAGGGUUUGGAUUGACAUGGCCUUUGAAAAAAACACCCUCUCAACCAUCCACACACACGCUGCAUCUCCAUGGAGCUUGGAUUAAUAACACCUGAUUGUACAUGUUCGCCUUUGGCUCCCUUCAUGCAGAUUAAUGGGGUUAAUUAAAGUGAAAUAAUUUGAAAAGACAAAGAACAAACAUUGUGAGGUUGCUCUGUUGUUAAAGGGCCAGUGACUGAGGAAAAUGUGUCUGAUUUGCAAGCCCAUAAAUAAAUAAUACAUACAAGCCUAA
Molecule: long non-coding RNA, 603 nt
Organism: Sinocyclocheilus rhinocerous
Lineage: Eukaryota; Metazoa; Chordata; Actinopteri; Cypriniformes; Cyprinidae
Exons: 2
Source: RefSeq, a predicted model, not a curated record